AGAAUUUAAGGAUGCCAAACCAUUGA
RNAcentral lists this non-coding RNA (26 nucleotides) under Mus musculus (house mouse). Lineage: Eukaryota; Metazoa; Chordata; Mammalia; Rodentia; Muridae. RNAcentral also lists the same sequence under 1 other name. The record is from RNAcentral.